GAUGAAGAACGCAGCGAAAUGCGAUAAGUAAUGUGAAUUGCAGAAUUCAGUGAAUCAUCGAAUCUUUGAACGCACAUUGCGCCCGCCAGUAUUCUGGCGGGCAUGCCUGUUCGAGCGUCAUUUCAACCAUCAAGCCCCCGGGCUUGUGUUGGGGACCUGCGGCUGCCGCAGGCCCUGAAAAGCAGUGGCGGGCUCGCUGUCACACCGAGCGUAGUAGAUUUUAUCUCGCUCUGGGCGUGCUGCGGGUUCCGGCCGUUAAACCACCCUUUUAACCCAAGGUUGACCUCGGAUCAGGUAGGAAGACCCGCCGAACUUAAGCAUAUCAAUAAGCGGAGGA
This 337-nucleotide unclassified non-coding RNA is filed under the name soil metagenome. RNAcentral describes it as "partial contains 5.8S ribosomal RNA, internal transcribed spacer 2, and large subunit ribosomal RNA". The stretch from base 1 to 120 matches the Rfam family "5.8S ribosomal RNA", at positions 35 to 154 of the family's 154-position model. The record is from RNAcentral.